GCAAGUUAGCCUAGGGAAAUACCAUUCAUUAAAGGCUCUGGUGUAUUUUGUUUCUGAAUUUUCUGCUCUAAAAUAUUCCUGUGAGUAGGAAGUGAACUUGCCUGUAAGUAACAGGAAGCUGAAAAGAGGGAACUUAAAUUUGAGGUACUAUUAUUAUAAUGUAGCCAGAAGUCUGGAGGUAAGCUGUUCAGAGCUGAUGCGGUGUUUCCAGGCAGCAGGUAGUGAUCCAGGCUCUUUUCUAUUUCUACUCAGCAUGUCCUUAGGGUUGGAGUGUAGUUGCGUGAUCACAGCUCACUGCAGCUUCAAUCCCCGGCUCCAGUGAUUCUCCCACCUCAGCCCCCGAGUAGCUGGGCCUACAGGUGCACAUUACAACACCCAGCUAGUUUCUGCAGUUUUUGUGGAGAGAUCGUUUCACCAUGUUGCCCAGGCAUUUCUCAAACUCCUGUACUCAAGCAAACCUUCCACUUUGGCCCCAAGUACUGGGAUUCAGGCAAGAGCCACCGCGUCUAGCCAAUUAUACAAUUUUUAAAAUAAAUUGAAAUGGUCGUUGAAAAUGUUCAGUAAAAGUUAUAUACUUUCAUCACUUACUUUAGAAAAAUGAGUCAUGUCAGAGUCUGCAGGUCCCAUGCUAUAUUUUGGUUAAAGCAGCACGUAAUAAUAAAUUGUUUUCUUAUCAUGAGAGCAUAAGUCUAAUAAUUAGAAUUUAGCCUCCAGCUUUCUUGGUAGAAUUUCUUUUUUUUUUUUUUUGAGACGGAGUCUCGCUCUGUCAACCAGGCUGGAGCGCAGUGGUUUGAUCUCGGCUCACUGCAAGCUCCGCCUCCUGGGUUCACGCCAUUUUCCUGCCUCAGCCUCCCGAGUAGCUGGG
This 865-nucleotide long non-coding RNA is filed under the name Homo sapiens (human). RNAcentral's name for it is "HSALNT0329253". Lineage: Eukaryota; Metazoa; Chordata; Mammalia; Primates; Hominidae. The record is from RNAcentral.